RNAcentral lists this ribosomal RNA (699 nucleotides) under uncultured Staphylococcus sp. RNAcentral's name for it is "bacterial SSU rRNA". It matches the Rfam family "Bacterial small subunit ribosomal RNA", at positions 63 to 744 of the family's 1533-position model. The record is from RNAcentral. Lineage: Bacteria; Bacillati; Bacillota; Bacilli; Caryophanales; Staphylococcaceae.
CGAGCGAACGGACGAGAAGCUUGCUUCUCUGAUGUUAGCGGCGGACGGGUGAGUAACACGUGGAUAACCUACCUAUAAGACUGGGAUAACUUCGGGAAACCGGAGCUAAUACCGGAUAAUAUUUUGAACCGCAUGGUUCAAAAGUGAAAGACGGUCUUGCUGUCACUUAUAGAUGGAUCCGCGCUGCAUUAGCUAGUUGGUAAGGUAACGGCUUACCAAGGCAACGAUGCAUAGCCGACCUGAGAGGGUGAUCGGCCACACUGGAACUGAGACACGGUCCAGACUCCUACGGGAGGCAGCAGUAGGGAAUCUUCCGCAAUGGGCGAAAGCCUGACGGAGCAACGCCGCGUGAGUGAUGAAGGUCUUCGGAUCGUAAAACUCUGUUAUUAGGGAAGAACAUAUGUGUAAGUAACUGUGCACAUCUUGACGGUACCUAAUCAGAAAGCCACGGCUAACUACGUGCCAGCAGCCGCGGUAAUACGUAGGUGGCAAGCGUUAUCCGGAAUUAUUGGGCGUAAAGCGCGCGUAGGCGGUUUUUUAAGUCUGAUGUGAAAGCCCACGGCUCAACCGUGGAGGGUCAUUGGAAACUGGAAAACUUGAGUGCAGAAGAGGAAAGUGGAAUUCCAUGUGUAGCGGUGAAAUGCGCAGAGAUAUGGAGGAACACCAGUGGCGAAGGCGACUUUCUGGUCUGUAACUGAC